GCAGAGCUUCCACCUCGUACCUUUUGCAUCAUGAUUUAGCCAGUAUCCUCAAGCAAAGAGCACUUUAGUUUGACACCCCGAAACUAAGUGAGCUACUCCAAGACAGCCUGUUAAUAGGGCAAACCCGUCUCUGUGGCAAAAGAGUGGGAUGAGCUUUGAGUAGAGGUGACAGACCUACCGAACUUAGUUAUAGCUGGUUGCCUAGGAAACGGAUAGAAGUUCAGCCUCCCGGCUUCUUUACAAACCGAGAGAGUUAGUCAAAGGGGGGACAGCCCCUUUGACACAAGACACAACUUUAACAAGAGGAUAAAGAUCAAAAUUACCUAAAGGUAAAAUGUUUUGGUGGGCCUAAAAGCAGCCAUCCCCAUAGAAAGCGUUAAAGCUCAAACAUCCUAUCCCGAUAAUAAAAUCUUAUUCCCCUAAUUUUACUAGGCCAUCCCAUGAUUAAACCAUGGGAGAGAUUAUGCUAAUAUGAGUAAUAAGAGAGCUCUCUCUCCCCGCACAAGUGUAUCUCGGAACGGACCCCCCACCGAACCUUACCGCCCCCAAACAAAGAGGGUAUUGAACUACAACUGGAAGACCCCCCACCGUUAACCCCACACUGGUGUGCCCAUAAGGAAAGACUAAAAGAAAGAAAAGGAACUCGGCAAACAAGCCUCGCCUGUUUACCAAAAACAUCGCCUCUUGCAUAAAUAAGAGGUCCCGCCUGCCCUGUGACUAAAUGUUUAACGGCCGCGGUAUUUUAACCGUGCAAAGGUAGCGCAAUCACUUGUCUCUUAAAUGGAGACCUGUAUGAAUGGCAUAACGAGGGCUAAGCUGUCUCCUCUUUCAAGUCAAUGAAAUUGAUUUCCCCGUGCAGAAGCGGGGAUACCCACAUAAGACGAGAAGACCCUAUGGAGCUUUAGACACAAGGUAAAUUAUGUUAAUACCCCUCCACAUAAGAGGAUUAAACCAAAUAACCCUUACCUCUAUGUCUUUGGUUGGGGCGACCGCGGGGAAAUAAAAAACCCCCACGUGGAAAGGGAACAUUCCUACAAGUAAGAGCUCCCGCUCUAACAAACAAAAUUUUUGACCAAUAAGAUCCGGCAACGCCGAUCAACGGACCGAGUUACCCUAGGGAUAACAGCGCAAUCCCCUUUUAGAGCCCAUAUCGACAAGGGGGUUUACGACCUCGAUGUUGGAUCAGGACAUCCUAAUGGUGCAG
Molecule: ribosomal RNA, 1204 nt
Filed under: Antigonia capros (deepbody boarfish)
Lineage: Eukaryota; Metazoa; Chordata; Actinopteri; Caproiformes; Caproidae
Description: partial 16S ribosomal RNA
Rfam family: Bacterial large subunit ribosomal RNA
Source: RNAcentral